Molecule: ribosomal RNA, 254 nt
Filed under: uncultured bacterium
Lineage: Bacteria
Description: partial 16S ribosomal RNA
Rfam family: Bacterial small subunit ribosomal RNA
Source: RNAcentral
UACGUAGGGUGCGAGCGUUGUCCGGAAUCACUGGGCGUAAAGGGCGCGUAGGUGGUGGCUUAAGCGUGCGGUGAAAGCUCGGGGCUCAACUCCGAGUCGGCCGUGCGAACUGGGCUCACUGGAGCAUAGUAGAGGCAGGUGGAAUUCCGGGUGUAGCGGUGGAAUGCGUAGAUAUCAGGAGGAACACCUGUGGUGUAGACAGCUUUCUGGACCAUUGCUGACGCUGAGACACGAAAGCGUGGGUAGCAAACAGG